UCGUUCAUUAUUUCACAAAGACGACGCGACGGCCGCAUUUCACUUAUUUUGCUAAUAUUGAUAAUACUUUAGCUCAAUACGGAAGUUUUGUUGAACCAAGGGUUAAAUAUGGAAGACGAGUCGCUUCCGAAAAGGAACAAAUUAUCCUAGACACUGCAAAUAAUAAUCCUUGAGUUUCAAUCAGAGUUUUCUCAAACGAAGUGGCACUACCUCGAAUGACAGUUUAAAGAACUUUACAUAAUCGUGGAUAUAAACCUUAUAAAAUUCAUAUUAGUCAAGACCUAGCGAUGCUGAGAGACGCUUUGAAUGUUGCUACUGGUUGCAAGAUAGAGUUAAUGAAGAUGCCGACUUCCUAAAUAAAAUUAUAGUGACAGAUGAAUGCAGUUUUUCAACAAAUGGACUAUUUAAUAGAAAUAACGAACACUAUUGGUCAAUAGAAAACCCAAGGCAGAAUCAAGAAGAAGUCUAACUUCCGAAUAAGGACCAAUAUAAUGGAUGCCUUAAUGGAAGAACCUUUGGAUGUAUUACAUCAACUAUAGUGGCAACAGGAGGGUGCACUAUCCCAUAAUAGACGAAGCGUCACCAAUUUAUUAAAUGAACUGUUCCCUAACAAAUAGAUUGAAAACCAAGGACCCGUACGUUGGCCCGCUAGAAGCCCCGACCUAAACCCUUUAGAUUACUUUUUUUAGGGAGUUCUUCAAAAUCGUCUUUAUCAAAAUACUCCACAAAAUCUUGAAGCCUUACGUCAAGCCUAACAUUAGAGCUAUCCCCACAAGGACUAUUCAGCGUACCAUCCAUAAAAUUCACAGACUAACACGAAAAUGCAUCCAAGCAGGCGGAUUACUAUUUGAACAUUUGCUUUAAUUGUGCCAUUUUUAAACCUCCUUUUAUGAUAGUGUUUAAGCUUUUCUUAUUAAUGCGUUUUUAUAAAAAAAGGUGUUUG
Molecule: long non-coding RNA, 943 nt
Organism: Anthonomus grandis grandis
Lineage: Eukaryota; Metazoa; Arthropoda; Insecta; Coleoptera; Curculionidae
Exons: 3
Source: RefSeq, a predicted model, not a curated record